RNAcentral lists this transfer RNA (73 nucleotides) under Deltaproteobacteria bacterium. RNAcentral's name for it is "tRNA-Ala". It matches the Rfam family "tRNA". From Rfam's summary of the family: Transfer RNA (tRNA) molecules are approximately 80 nucleotides in length. Their secondary structure includes four short double-helical elements and three loops (D, anti-codon, and T loops). The record is from RNAcentral. Lineage: Bacteria; Pseudomonadati; Myxococcota; Myxococcia.
GGGGCUGUAGCUCAGCUGGGAGAGCGGCGGCUUUGCAAGCCGUAGGUCAGGGGUUCGAACCCCCUCAGCUCCA